GAUGAACGCUGGUGGCGUGCCUAAUACAUGCAAGUCGAGCGAACGGACGAGAAGCUUGCUUCUCUGAUGUUAGCGGCGGACGGGUGAGUAACACGUGGAUAACCUACCUAUAAGACUGGGAUAACUUCGGGAAACCGGAGCUAAUACCGGAUAAUAUUUUGAACCGCAUGGUUCAAAAGUGAAAGACGGUCUUGCUGUCACUUAUAGAUGGAUCCGCGCUGCAUUAGCUAGUUGGUAAGGUAACGGCUUACCAAGGCAACGAUGCAUAGCCGACCUGAGAGGGUGAUCGGCCACACUGGAACUGAGACACGGUCCAGACUCCUACGGGAGGCAGCAGUAGGGAAUCUUCCGCAAUGGGCGAAAGCCUGACGGAGCAACGCCGCGUGAGUGAUGAAGGUCUUCGGAUCGUAAAACUCUGUUAUUAGGGAAGAACAUAUGUGUAAGUAACUGUGCACAUCUUGACGGUACCUAAUCAGAAAGCCACGGCUAACUACGUGCCAGCAGCCGCGGUAAUACGUAGGUGGCAAGCGUUAUCCGGAAUUAUUGGGCGUAAAGCGCGCGUAGGCGGUUUUUUAAGUCUGAUGUGAAAGCCCACGGCUCAACCGUGGAGGGUCAUUGGAAACUGGAAAACUUGAGUGCAGAAGAGGAAAGUGGAAUUCCAUGUGUAGCGGUGAAAUGCGCAGAGAUAUGGAGGAACACCAGUGGCGAAGGCGACUUUCUGGUCUGUAACUGGCGCUGAUGUGCGAAAGCGUGGGGAUCAAACAGGAUUAGAUACCCUGGUAGUCCACGCCGUAAACGAUGAGUGCUAAGUGUUAGGGGGUUUCCGCCCCUUAGUGCUGCAGCUAACGCAUUAAGCACUCCGCCUGGGGAGUACGACCGCAAGGUUGAAACUCAAAGGAAUUGACGGGGACCCGCACAAGCGGUGGAGCAUGUGGUUUAAUUCGAAGCAACGCGAAGAACCUUACCAAAUCUUGACAUCCUUUGACAACUCUAGAGAUAGAGCCUUCCCCUUCGGGGGACAAAGUGACAGGUGGUGCAUGGUUGUCGUCAGCUCGUGUCGUGAGAUGUUGGGUUAAGUCCCGCAACGAGCGCAACCCUUAAGCUUAGUUGCCAUCAUUAAGUUGGGCACUCUAAGUUGACUGCCGGUGACAAACCGGAGGAAGGUGGGGAUGACGUCAAAUCAUCAUGCCCCUUAUGAUUUGGGCUACACACGUGCUACAAUGGACAAUACAAAGGGCAGCGAAACCGCGAGGUCAAGCAAAUCCCAUAAAGUUGUUCUCAGUUCGGAUUGUAGUCUGCAACUCGACUACAUGAAGCUGGAAUCGCUAGUAAUCGUAGAUCAGCAUGCUACGGUGAAUACGUUCCCGGGUCU
Molecule: ribosomal RNA, 1372 nt
Filed under: uncultured bacterium
Lineage: Bacteria
Description: bacterial SSU rRNA
Rfam family: Bacterial small subunit ribosomal RNA
Source: RNAcentral